This 498-nucleotide ribosomal RNA is filed under the name uncultured bacterium. RNAcentral describes it as "bacterial SSU rRNA". It matches the Rfam family "Bacterial small subunit ribosomal RNA", at positions 28 to 507 of the family's 1533-position model. The record is from RNAcentral.
GGCUAACGCUGGCGGCGUGUCUUAGCCAUGCAAGUCGAGCGGACUUAUGGGGUAACUUAUAAGUCAGCGGUGGACGGCGGAGUAACACGUAGCUAACCUACCCUCUGGACGGGGAUAACCUACCGAAAGGUGGGCUAAUACCCGAUGUAGUCAUCCUGUAUAGGGGUGAUGAAAGGUGGGCUUCUGUUUACAAGCUCAUGCUGGAGGAGGGGGCUGCGGCCUAUCAGGUAGUUGGUAGGGUAAUAGCCUACCAAGCCGAUGACGGGUAGCCGGCCUGAGAGGGUGACCGGCCCGAGGGGCACUGAGAUACGGGUCCCACUCCUACGGGAGGCAGCAGGCUAGAAAUUUGGGCAAUGGGGGAAACCCUGACCCAGUGACGCCGCGUGCAGGAAGGAGCCCUUCGGGGUGUAAACUGCUGUCGUGUAGGGAGAAGGGUACUAAGGUGAACAAUCUUAGUACUUGACGGUACUACAGGAGGAAGCCCAGGCUAACCUCGUG